RNAcentral lists this ribosomal RNA (301 nucleotides) under uncultured bacterium. Its description in RNAcentral is "partial 16S ribosomal RNA". It matches the Rfam family "Bacterial small subunit ribosomal RNA", at positions 509 to 808 of the family's 1533-position model. The record is from RNAcentral.
CAGUAGCCGCGGGAAUACGUAGGGUGCAAGCGUUAAUCGGAAUUACUGGGCGUAAAGCGUGCGCAGGCGGUUCGCUAAGACAGAUGUGAAAUCUCCGGGCUUAACCUGGGAACUGCAUUUGUGACUGGCGGGCUAGAGUAUGGCAGAGGGGGGUAGAAUUCCACGUGUAGCAGUGAAAUGCGUAGAGAUGUGGAGGAAUACCGAUGGCGAAGGCAGCCCCCUGGCCAAUACUGACGCUCAUGCACGAAAGCGUGUGGAGCAAACAGGAUUAGAUACCCGUGUAGUCCCUGUCUCUUAUACC